This 340-nucleotide ribosomal RNA is filed under the name uncultured Bacillota bacterium. RNAcentral describes it as "bacterial SSU rRNA". It matches the Rfam family "Bacterial small subunit ribosomal RNA", at positions 28 to 351 of the family's 1533-position model. The record is from RNAcentral. Lineage: Bacteria; Bacillati; Bacillota.
GAUGAACGCUGGCGGCGUGCCUAACACAUGCAAGUCGAGCGAGAAGCUCUUGAACGAUUCUUCGGAAAAGUGAUAGAGUGGAAAGCGGCGGACGGGUGAGUAACGCGUAGGCAACCUGCCCUUUGCACAGGGAUAGCCAUUGGAAACGAUGAUUAAAACCUGAUAACACCAUUUUAUCACAUGGAAAGAUGGUCAAAGAUUUAUCGGCAAAGGAUGGGCCUGCGUCUGAUUAGCUAGUUGGUGAGGUAACGGCUCACCAAGGCGACGAUCAGUAGCCGACCUGAGAGGGUGAUCGGCCACAUUGGAACUGAGACACGGUCCAAACUCCUACGGGUGGCAG